GCCUUCUUAGCUCAGUGGUAGAGCGCGUGGCUUUUAACCACACGUGGUUGUGGGUUCGAUCCCAUAGACGGCG
This 73-nucleotide transfer RNA is filed under the name Nicotiana sylvestris (wood tobacco). It matches the Rfam family "tRNA". From Rfam's summary of the family: Transfer RNA (tRNA) molecules are approximately 80 nucleotides in length. The record is from Rfam by way of RNAcentral. Lineage: Eukaryota; Viridiplantae; Streptophyta; Magnoliopsida; Solanales; Solanaceae.